This is a long non-coding RNA of Piliocolobus tephrosceles (Ugandan red Colobus), 2173 nucleotides long. NCBI's taxonomy places the organism in Eukaryota, Metazoa, Chordata, Mammalia, Primates, Cercopithecidae. The record is from Ensembl.
CGUGAACAUAAAAGAAAUAAAUACGUUAUAUAACAUUUUUAAUAAUAAUUAUCAAACAUAUAGCUCUGAUAAUGAUUAUAUUCCAAAUAUAAAAAACAAACAAAAUAAUGAAGCAAGUAAUAAAAAUUUAUUAUUAAAUAAUAAGAAAAAUAAUAAUUUAGUAUAUAUUAGUUCAAGUAGUAACAAGAACAGUAACAUUGGAGUAACGGUAAAUGAUAAUAGUAGUAGCAUAUAUCUUAAACAUAGCAAAUAUGUUGAUAAAUGGAAUGACGAGUGGUUGGAUAUUAGAACGAUGAAUCGAGAAAGUUAUAUCGAUAUGCAAUACAACACAAAUAAAACAACGUUGCAGAAAAUAGAUGAACAAGCAAGUUUUGCAUUUGGUAAUAGAAGCAGUAGUUGUGAUAGUAAUAAACAUAAUAACGGCGCUUGUAAUAUGAAUAACUAUAAUAACGGCGCUUGUAAUAUGAAUAACUAUAAUAACAGCUAUUGUGAUAGUAAAAACUUUAACAACAGCAGUUGUAAUAUGAAUAACUAUAAUAACAGUUAUUGUGAUAGUAAAAACUUUAACAACAACAGUUGUAAUAGUAACAACUUUAACAACAGUUACAAUUGCAAUACAACUUUCAAUUCGAUCAAUUACAAUAAUGCUUCAAAAAAAGAUAACAGUAGUUAUUUUUUUAAUUCGGUUAAUAAGAUAGAAAAUGAAAACACAAGUUUUUUGAAUGUGUUAGAUAUUGAUUUAAAUUUUAAUAACAAUAGAAAUGGAUUAAAUUAUGAUAACUUUCAGGACGAUUGCAAAAAUGUAAGUAAUGGCAAUUUAAUUUUUAAUAAUAAAAAAAAAAAUGACAAUUUUCAGGACGCUUGCAAAAAUGUAAGUAAUGACAAUAUAAUUUUUAGUAAUAAGAAAAAAGACUAUAAACUACAAAAAGAAACAAAUUUAGUUCAUAUUUUCACAAAUAAUAAUUUUAAAAACGAUUUCAAUAAUAAAUUAAUUAAAAAAAUGGAAAUAAAACCGAUACAUACAAAGCUGACAAAACAGAGCAACAAACUGGAUAAAACAAAUGGAGAAGAUGUAAUAGGUACACAAAAUACGUGUGUUAACUUUAAUUCAUAUGAUUAUUUCGACAGUAUAUAUGACGAAACGUGUGCCAACAAUAUUAGUAAUAGUAGUAUUAGUAAUAGUAGUAUUAGUAAUAAUAAUUUGAUGAUAGGUAAUAAAUUAAAAAACGACAAAAUAUUACUAGACUUGUUUUCGUCGGAUAGUCAUUUUAAUGUUAAUGUGACAACUUAUAAUAAAAAAGAAAUCAAAAAGGAAUGUAUAGAGGGGGUGUGUCCAGAGGAAUUCCCAAAACAAUACCACACCGAAACAAAAAACUUUUCAAUCGACUGUGAAAGUGACAACUCAUUCUUAGCCAUCGUUAAACAAAUAGAUAACGUUAGUAAACAAAUAAUACAAACGGAUAUUAUAGAUGACGAAUUUGUUUAUAAGAAAGACGCGUGUGUUUAUAAGAAAAGUGAUCGUAGAUAUAACAGUCUAGAUAACAUAUACUUUGACCACCUAAACGAAAUAAAUUAUGAAAAAAAGGCAUUAUAUGGACAAAACUAUAAUAACUUGUGGAGUGGAUGCUUAUCCACCAAUAUUAUAAAUGAAUAUAAUAAUGUAAGCUUUAGUGAUUAUAAUAACAUGGAACUUGAUAAUAGUAAUAGCAUAUCAUAUGGAAGUAAUAUAAACACAACACAUAGUAACAAUAGUCAUAUAGCACAUCUACAAAAUUCUAACUUGGUUGCUUAUCCGCAUGACAUUGCAUUUGAAUUUUAUGAAAAAAUAUAUAACAUUCUAGUGAAUAAAAACUAUUUGGAAAUAUUUUUGAUUUUAAAACAACUUGAACAGGAAAAAUAUAAAAAUAUAAGUCUCUCAAAUUUUCAUAAUUAUUUAAAGAAAGUAAAAAAGAUUACAAACAGAGGUAACAAAGAAAUGUACGAUUAUAAUGAUUAUAUACAUACAUGUAUAGAAGAUAUCUUCAAAAUGGAUAUAUUUUUUUAUUUAUUAGUUAACAUAUAUAUAGAUAACAUGAACAAAUGCAUUAGCAAAAAAAAUAUACUAAUAAAUAAUAUAAGUAAUACAAAUAAUUUUAUAAACGACUGCUAUAAAAAACAUGAGAAAGUGUUAACG